UCCGGUGACGAUAGCUGCACGGCUCCACCUGUUCCCAUUCCGAACACAGUAGUUAAGCGUGUAAACGUCGAAAGUACUUGGCUGGAGACGGCCCGGGAGGAUAGAAAGUUGCCGGUU
Molecule: ribosomal RNA, 117 nt
Filed under: Selenomonadaceae bacterium
Lineage: Bacteria; Bacillati; Bacillota; Negativicutes; Selenomonadales; Selenomonadaceae
Source: RNAcentral